Long non-coding RNA from Siniperca chuatsi (mandarin fish), 470 nucleotides. RefSeq lists it as uncharacterized. The record is from RefSeq and is a predicted model, not a curated record. The transcript is spliced from 3 exons. NCBI's taxonomy places the organism in Eukaryota, Metazoa, Chordata, Actinopteri, Centrarchiformes, Sinipercidae.
ACGUGUGCACUUUCACUCCGCCUGCUCGUGCUCGGCACUGUCCCUCCCUGCUCGGAGGAAACCGCUACUUUCCAUCGUGCCAAGGCAGGCCGGCGGGCCGGGACAAGACAUGCAGCACGUACUACACUACAGCUGGAAGACUUCCUUAUCCUCAGGCGGCAGGGAAAGCUGGCGACGGGAUGUGUGCUGCUCCUUCUCCAUGGAGAUGUGCCCGUCAGCCGACUUCCUCCUCUCGUCCGAGAACCUUCUCACCUGACAAGCCGCUGCUUCACUGCCGCUGCGGGGCCGACACUGCUCUGACCUCCGAGCCGCCUUCAUCACCCACCAAACGGAGACAUCAUGAUCAACAUGGCAUCACAGAGACAAAGUCUCCUCUCGAAUGACUCUGUGAGCUCUGGGAUAGUGGUGAUGCGGUUCUCUGGAAUGGCUGACUUGGGACGGCUGUUGUCGUCUGAGGGGACGCGACGAGC